GACGAACGCUGGCGGCGUGCUUAACACAUGCAAGUCGAACGGAAAGGCCCUGCUUUUGUGGGGUGCUCGAGUGGCGAACGGGUGAGUAACACGUGAGUAACCUGCCCUUGACUUUGGGAUAACUUCAGGAAAAUGGGGCUCAUACCGGAUAGGAGAUCCUGCUGCACGGUGGGGGUUGGAAAGUUUCGGCGGUUGGGGAUGGACUGGCGGCUUAUCAGCUUGUUGGUGGGGUAGUGGCUUACCAAGGCUUUGACGGGUAGCCGGCCUGGGAGGGUGACCGGCCACAUUGGGACUGAGAUACGGCCCAGACUCCUACGGGAGGCAGCAGUGGGGAAUAUUGCACAAUGGGCGGAAGCCUGAUGCAGCAACGCCGCGUGCGGGAUGACGGCCUUCGGGUUGUAAACCGCUUUCGCCUGUGACGAAGCGUGAGUGACGGUAAUGGGUAAAGAAGCACCGGCUAACUACGUG
This 468-nucleotide ribosomal RNA is filed under the name uncultured bacterium. Its description in RNAcentral is "partial 16S ribosomal RNA". It matches the Rfam family "Bacterial small subunit ribosomal RNA", at positions 28 to 507 of the family's 1533-position model. The record is from RNAcentral.